This 73-nucleotide transfer RNA is filed under the name Camelus bactrianus (Bactrian camel). It matches the Rfam family "tRNA". Rfam says of the family: Transfer RNA (tRNA) molecules are approximately 80 nucleotides in length. Lineage: Eukaryota; Metazoa; Chordata; Mammalia; Artiodactyla; Camelidae. RNAcentral also lists the same sequence under 2 other names. The record is from Rfam by way of RNAcentral.
GAAGGUAUAGCUCAAGUGGUAGAGUGCAUGCUUAGAAUGCACAAAACCCUGGGUUCAAUCCCCAGAACCUCCC